GAGGUAGAGAAAUCUUGAGACAUAGAAGUUCCUGAAGGGUAUGGGAUUCACCUCUACUUCACCCAUCUGGACAUAGAGCUAUCAGAGAACUGUGCGUAUGACUCAGUGCAGAUAAUGUCAGGAGACAUUGAAGAAGGGAGGCUCUGUGGACAGAGGACCAGUAACAAUCCCCACUCUCCAAUUGUGGAAGAGUUCCAAGUCCCAUACAACAAACUCCAGGUGAUCUUUAAGUCAGACUUUUCCAAUGAAGAGCGUUUUACGGGGUUUGCUGCAUACUAUGUCGCCACAG
This is a long non-coding RNA of Cercocebus atys (sooty mangabey), 289 nucleotides long. RefSeq lists it as uncharacterized. Lineage: Eukaryota; Metazoa; Chordata; Mammalia; Primates; Cercopithecidae. The record is from RefSeq and is a predicted model, not a curated record. The transcript has 2 exons.